This 39-nucleotide ribosomal RNA is filed under the name Termitomyces microcarpus. RNAcentral's name for it is "partial 5.8S ribosomal RNA". Lineage: Eukaryota; Fungi; Basidiomycota; Agaricomycetes; Agaricales; Lyophyllaceae. The record is from RNAcentral.
CAACUUUCAGCAACGGAUCUCUUGGCUCUCGCAUCGAUG